This 82-nucleotide transfer RNA is filed under the name Fusarium oxysporum. RNAcentral describes it as "tRNA-Leu". It matches the Rfam family "tRNA". From Rfam's summary of the family: Transfer RNA (tRNA) molecules are approximately 80 nucleotides in length. Their secondary structure includes four short double-helical elements and three loops (D, anti-codon, and T loops). Further hydrogen bonds mediate the characteristic L-shaped molecular structure. tRNAs have two regions of fundamental functional importance: the anti-codon, which is responsible for specific mRNA codon recognition, and the 3' end, to which the tRNAs corresponding amino acid is attached (by aminoacyl-tRNA synthetases). tRNAs cope with the degeneracy of the genetic code in two manners: having more than one tRNA (with a specific anti-codon) for a particular amino acid; and 'wobble' base-pairing, i.e. permitting non-standard base-pairing at the 3rd anti-codon position. The record is from RNAcentral. RNAcentral also lists the same sequence under 2 other names. Lineage: Eukaryota; Fungi; Ascomycota; Sordariomycetes; Hypocreales; Nectriaceae.
AUCUAAGUGGUGGAACCGGUAGACACGACGAACUUAAGCUUCGUUGGCAUUAGCCAUGAAGGUUCAAGUCCUUCCUUAGAUA